Molecule: ribosomal RNA, 253 nt
Filed under: uncultured bacterium
Lineage: Bacteria
Description: partial 16S ribosomal RNA
Rfam family: Bacterial small subunit ribosomal RNA
Source: RNAcentral
UACGAGGGGGGCGAGCGUUGUCCGGAUUUAUUGGGCGUAAAGAGCGUGUAGGCGGCCAGGUAGGUCUGCUGUGAAAACUCGAGGCUCAACCUCGAGACGUCGGCGGAAACCAUCUGGCUAGAGUCCGGAAGAGGAGAGUGGAAUUCCUGGUGUAGCGGUGAAAUGCGCAGAUAUCAGGAAGAACACCCGUGGCGAAGGCGGCUCUCUGGGACGGUACUGACGCUGAGACGCGAAAGCGUGGGGAGCGAACAGG